AGGAAGGAGUAGGUUAUAACUAAACUUUUAGCUUGUGGUGCUAUAGAACUAAAUUAUUUAGCUUUUUCAC
This 70-nucleotide transfer RNA is filed under the name Heterobothrium okamotoi. RNAcentral describes it as "tRNA-His". Lineage: Eukaryota; Metazoa; Platyhelminthes; Monogenea; Mazocraeidea; Diclidophoridae. The record is from RNAcentral.